CACGGGCUCGGACACGGCCUCGGGUUCGGGCACGGCUUCCGGCCGGGGUUCCGGCUCGGGACCCGGCUCCGGCUCCGGCUCCGCGGCCGGGGCCUGCGGC
Molecule: transfer RNA, 100 nt
Filed under: Streptomyces sp. MP131-18
Lineage: Bacteria; Bacillati; Actinomycetota; Actinomycetes; Kitasatosporales; Streptomycetaceae
Description: tRNA-Gly
Source: RNAcentral